This is an RNA transcript of Gossypium arboreum, 3152 nucleotides long. It is a transcript of the gene named cyclin-dependent kinase G-2-like, with no coding region annotated. The transcript has 7 exons. The record is from RefSeq and is a predicted model, not a curated record. NCBI's taxonomy places the organism in Eukaryota, Viridiplantae, Streptophyta, Magnoliopsida, Malvales, Malvaceae.
UCUCCCUAGUAAAAUAAAACACAUCGUUUCGUUUCGCAAAAUCCUCUCUUAGCCUUUCGCUUUCUAUUUUGCGAUUUCUCGCGAUUUCGAAAGUUGAAAGCUCUCUACUUUUCAUAUUCCCUAUUUUGUCCCUGGCGACCCGGCGGCGAUCGCCGACUUUCAUCGUUACGUACAUGUUUUUCCGUUUUCGUCGCUAUCGGUAAGCCCUAGAUACUCUCAAUUUCCUUUACUUUCUUAAUUUCGUCGAGGGAUUUGAGAAAAUUGAAUAUUGAUAUAUCUAGGGUUUAUCUUCUUCGUCUUUUUCCUUGAUUUCUAUUAUGAUUUGAUUGUUUUUCGAGCUACACAGAGCGAGACUCGAGGAUCUGAUUCUUCGGUUUGGUUGUUUUAGCUGCCUUUUAUUUUAAGGUUUCGUAUUGAUUAACCUAGUUUGGGCUUUUAUUUUUUUGGUUGAAAGUUGGGGGAAUUUUGGCUAGGCUUGUUGUGUUCGGGGGUUUAGGGUUUUAUAAGUAAACAAUUCGGAAGGAAUUUCUUGAAUUGGAAAGCGGUUGGUUUCUGAAUAUUUUGAAAUUUAUACAUGGCUGCUGGGAGAAAUGGGGGUUAUCAUGGUAAUGGGUUUAGGAAUAGAGAUUCUGAAUUUGAGGUGACGAGGCGGGAAAUUGCUAAUUCUAAGGAUUAUGAGCCUUCUAGGAAUGAUAGCCGUAAUAAUGAAAGGCGAGAUAGAGUUAGGGUUAGGCAAAAGGAUGUUAAGGAGAGGGAAGUGGUAAAUGGUGGUUCUCUGUCCUCUUCGAGUAGGGAUUCAGGUGGCAGUAGUGGUGGUGGAGGAGGUAGUCGGGGACCCAAGCGAUGUGAGUUCUCUCGUAGGGUGGUAGAUAAGGAGCCUGGUGAGUUGUCUAGUGAAAGUGGAUCGGAGGAUGCCAUAGAGUCUGAGUUGACUAUUAAAAAUAGUGAGAUUGCGAAAGCAAUGGAUAAUGGGGCUCAAUCUCCUGUGGGAAAGAAAAGGAAGUUUUCGCCUAUAGUAUGGGAUAUAGAUGACAAGGUAUUAAGUAAUUCAUCGAAAAGUAGGAUUUCACCAGCAGUUACAGCUGCUCCUCCUCCACCAGCAGUGCCUAAAGUUUAUCACAGUUCACCUAACAAUGUCUCUGGUGGUACUGUACAGACAUCUCCUGUUAGAGAAAGAAAAAAGCAGAAAUUACAACCUCCUUCACCAGUUGCUGCUACUGAAAUUGCUGGAUACUCCACUUUGGAAUCUCGAAUCGAUUUGGAUUUUUCCCCACCUAAAGAGCAGGUUAACAAUCAGGAUGCGGGGCAGCUUGACGAUGAAGAUUAUGUACCAACCAGACAUAUAUCUUCCUCAAGAUGGGCGUCUGGUGAUAGUUCUCCUGGUGAUGAGGGUGAAAUUUUAGAAGAUGAGGAAAUGCCUAAAAUGAGGAAAAAGUUAUCUCUUCUGGAAUCAGCCCAUAAAAGAUUUCAGAAUAAGUCGACAACUCCAGAGCUUGGGGAGCUUAACAGGGAAGGCUCUGAGGGAGUUAGAGCUAAAUCAUCUGAAUCUGAUGAACGAGCUGCUCGUUCCAGGUCUGGAAGUGGGAAUGAUUCAGAGAAGGAUGACUACAUGGAGAUUGAUGUUGAACAUGAUAGAAAUGACAGCAGUGUAAGCGAGUCUGAUAGAGAUGCUGAGAAUGAAAGUGACUCACCGGUUACGCCAGAACCUCCAGCUCCUCCUUUAAGAAGUGUGAACAUGCUUCAGGGAUGUAGAAGUGUAGAUGAAUUUGAGAGAUUAAAUAAGAUAGAUGAAGGUACUUAUGGUGUUGUUUAUAGAGCUAGGGACAAGAAGACAGGGGAAAUUGUGGCAUUGAAGAAGGUAAAGAUGGAGAAAGAAAGAGAAGGUUUUCCUCUGACCUCUUUGAGGGAAAUAAACAUUCUUCUCUCAUUUCAUCACCCAUCGGUUGUAGAUGUUAAAGAAGUAGUUGUAGGGAGUAACCUUGAUAGUAUCUUUAUGGUUAUGGAAUACAUGGAACAUGAUCUGAAAGCGCUGAUGGAGACAAUGAGACAACCAUUCAGCCAAAGUGAGGUUAAAUGCUUGAUGCUUCAGCUACUGGAGGGUGUCAAGUAUCUUCAUGACAAUUGGGUUCUGCAUCGAGAUUUGAAGACAUCUAAUCUGCUUUUAAAUAACCAAGGUGAAUUGAAGAUUUGUGAUUUUGGGUUGGCUCGUCAGUAUGGAAGCCCAUUAAAACCAUAUACACAUUUGGUUGUUACUCUUUGGUACAGGGCUCCAGAACUUCUUUUGGGAGCAAGACAAUAUUCCACUGCAAUUGACAUGUGGUCUUUGGGUUGUAUAAUGGCUGAACUACUUUCGAAAGAACCACUUUUCAACGGGAAAACUGAAUUUGAUCAACUUGACAAGAUUUUCAGAACACUGGGCACACCAAAUGAGACAAUAUGGCCUGGUUUUUCGAAGUUGCCUGGAGUCAAGGUCAAUUUUGUCAAGCAUCAGUAUAAUCUAUUGCGCAAAAAAUUUCCAGCCACGUCGUUCACUGGCACACCUGUUCUCUCUGACGCAGGAUUUGACUUACUGAAUAAACUCCUUACUUAUGAUCCUGAGAAGCGUAUAACUGCUGAAGCUGCUCUUAACCAUGAGUGGUUUCGUGAAGUUCCUCUUCCCAAGACCAAAGCUUUCAUGCCCACUUUCCCUGCCCAACAUGCUCAAGACAGGCGAAUGAGAAGAAUACUGAAGAGCCCAGAUCCUUUGCAAGAGCAACGUAGAAAGGAGUUGCAACAAGGGGAACUAGGGACUGGUGGUCUAUUUGGCUAAGAGAAAAUUCAUCCAUCAGUGCUGUUUGAUCUUCAUUUUUUAGAAUUUUCUCAUUAUUGUUAGAGGGCCGUGUUUGAGGCACUGAUGAUGUUUUAGCUGGAGAUAUUGGUUGCCUCUUCCUGUGCGCCAGAUGUUUUGCAGGUUAUAUUGUUUUCCAGCUUUGUUCAUCAUAUAAAAAUGCAUCUGACACUGCUUGCAUCGCAAGGUGUGGCUAUCAGCCUUUCUUCUUCUAGAAAUCAGUUUCAGCUGAGACUUGUGUAACAUAUUUUUAUUGGAACAAUGAUGUAAACCUUCCUUUUAUAUCUGGUUUUGAAUAUUAAAAAAGAAAUCUGGAUUUCUUCCA